GACGUAGGGCGCGAGCGUUGUCCGGAUUUAUUGGGCGUAAAGAGCUCGUAGGCGGCUUGUUGCGUCGGCUGUGAAAACCCGCGGCUUAACCGCGGGCCUGCAGCCGAUACGGGCAGGCUAGAGUUCGGUAGGGGAGACUGGAAUUCCUGGUGUAGCGGUGAAAUGCGCAGAUAUCAGGAGGAACACCGGUGGCGAAGGCGGGUCUCUGGACAUUUCCUGACGCUGAGGCACGAAAGCCAGGGGAGCAAACGGG
Molecule: ribosomal RNA, 253 nt
Filed under: uncultured bacterium
Lineage: Bacteria
Description: partial 16S ribosomal RNA
Rfam family: Bacterial small subunit ribosomal RNA
Source: RNAcentral